UUGUACUCCAUGUGGCAAGUCUCAAUGUCAAGUGUGUAAUGUUAUGUGUGACAGUGAUAACUUUUACUUCCCAUAUAACUGAUAAGGAAUAUAAGAUAAAUUUUCCGUUUAACUGUGAUUAGUCCAAUGUUGUGUAUCUUAUGGAAUGUAAAGUAUGUGGUGUACAGUAUGUGGGUAGCACUUGCACGCCGUUUAGGCUUAGGUUUAAUAACUAAAAGGCGUGCAAUCGUAAGUUUAUCGGGGGCUCUUCGGGUAUACCUCAGGCUGAUUUUUUCGGCAUUUUGCAGGGAACAAUCAUCAUGGGUUUCUUGAAGAUAUUAAAGUAACUAUUAUAGGUAGACUUAAUGGGAAUGGUAGGAUACGUGAAAGUUUCUGGCAGUAUAAGUUAGAAACUUUGGCGCCCCAGGGCCUUAAUAUUAGGUUAGUUGAAACAUAGUUUUAUUUUUAUUUCCAAUCUCUUGGAUAAUUUUCUUCUUUUCACAGCAAUUUAUUAUUUCUACAUAAUAUUAUUUUCUAAUCUUCAUGGUAGGGACAGACAGCAUUCAACCUUUCUCGUUUUUGUGCAUUCCUGGGUAGUUUACCAUCUGCCUUUUUUCACGCUUGUCUUUUGUUCUUUUAUCUAUUGUAUUUUUUCCGCUUUUCUCACCUUCAGCUGGGCCUAGAAAGUUUACUUGUGUCGUAUAAUUAGCCAUUAUCGUCCUUGCUUGUAAAAUGUGCUCUUUUGUCCUAUUGUUUUGUAUUCCUUACUUUACGCUCCAAAUGUAAGUGAAGGUUAUUCUGAAGAAGCAUAUUGCGAAACGUUAAUCAAGUUUUUUUUUACUGAUCAUCUAUAUAUAUAUAUAUAGAUGAUCAGUAAAAGAUCUUGACUCUUUCAAUUUCAGAUACCAGUCUCACAUGGAAUUCUUGAAUAAAUGCAUUGACGAGAAGUUAGUUCCAAAUGGCUUGAAAAAUGAAGUGGAGCCUUCUAUUGGCAAUCACGACGAAACGUUUUUGACUAUGUGGAAUGAAAAAUUAAAAUCUUACUCAAUUGAUCUAAUGAAGGAAAUUGUAAAAUUCUGCGGAAGCACUCUUUCCAAAACUGAGCAAGAAAAGUCAAAAGUUGAUGCACUUCUAAAUCGAGAAAUAGAUGCAGACACCUACAAUGAUGUUAAAAAAACUAUCAACGCAAAUAUACUGCAAACAAAAAAUACAUGCCAAAAGAGAAAGUCAAGGAAGUUAUACUACCUGAAAUACGGUAAGCCCCAAAACAAAAAUGUAGCUGCGGCUUCUAAGGAAAAGAAACAACAAAUUGCACCCCAGAAAGAAAAAGAGGACAAGUCUUACGCGGGCGCAGUAAAACAACCGCAACAGACGGCAUCCAACCAAAGUUGACCAAUGAGCUUUGUAGAUCACCUAAAAAAUGUAAGAGCAUCAACAAGCCAGAGCCAAAGAGACAGAACAACGAAAGUCCCUGGAAUGAUCAAAAUUUUGCAGCGCCCGAAACAAAGAACGGAAAAGUCUAAUCAAACAACACAUGUUGAAGCACAAAAAACCGAGGAAAUUCAAAACCGGAACCAAAAAAACGAAACCACGGCCUCCAUGUAUCAUGGGGGCCUAACAGAUAUGCUUAGAGCCCUAAACGAAACAACAAAGGCAAUAACAGGAUUCGAAAAGUUAUUAAGAAGCUUGUCCGAACAAUAAACAAUCCGUUUGGACAGGUCAUAAAUUUGUCAAACUUCAAAUUUUCCUUAAGUGAAUUUAAACUAUUAAACAAAAACCUCAACUUUUGUCCUACACCCUUACCUUACAAAAGAAAAGAACUGGAAGAAGACAUGAAGGAAUUUUUUCGAAAAAUCAAACUUAAAGCCCAUUUUAACAACAAUGAAGAAACACUAGAAGAUGAAGAAGAAACUGACGAGCAACAAACAGAUGAAGAAAGAAUAUUUAGGAAGAAAAGUAGAUGGACACCAUACAAUGUACAUCAUACAGUCGAAACUUAUAUAGAAGCGGUAAAAAGCGAUAUUUACUCAACACCUAAGGUACCUCUAACCAAAAAUAACCUCUCAAAAAAAGAAAUAAAAGCCAUGAAUGAUUUAAAACAAAGAACCGACAUUAUCAUAAUCAAAGCGGACAAAGGGGGAGCAUUUGUAAUAAUUGAUGUAAAAGACUAUAUAAAAGAAGCAAACAGACAGUUAGGUAAUACCCAGUUCUAUUCAACCAUUGAUGAAGAUUUAACCAAUAAACACAAUAAAAUUAUAAAUGAUUUAAUCGACAGGUAUAUAGGAGAGAAAUUAAUACAAUCUAAAAUUGGAGAAGCGUUAAAAACAGCUAACCCUAAAACACCUAGGUUCUACAUGCUACCAAAAAUACAUAAACCAAACAAUCCCGGUCGACCGGUGGUAAGCUCAGUAGCUUGCCAUUCUAGCCAAAUCUCUAAAUAUGUAGACUACCACUUAAAUCCAGUAGCACAGCGACUAAGUUCGUACGUAAGAGACACCACAGAUUUUAUUAAUAAAUUAUCGUCAGUUAAAGACCUACCACAUAAUACAGUACUUAUUUCCAUGGAUGUCAGAUCCCUUUACACUAAUAUCCCUACAAAUGAAGGCUUUGAUGCUGUUAAACAAAAAUUAAACGAGCCUACAAAUACAAUUACACUUUCAGCCUCUCCAAUCGUAAUACUUGAAUUUCUAAAACUUAUACUUACCUGUAACAAUUUUGAAUUUAAUGGCAAUAAUUUCCUCCAAAUCAAGGGUUGUGCCAUGGGAACAAUAUGUGCCCCCUCUUACGCUAACAUAUCUUAUAUUUAUGGGGAAAUUCGAAGAAGAAUACAUUUAUCCAUAUAUUGGGAAUAAAGCAAAAUUAUAUCUACGUUACAUUGACGACAUAUUUAUUUUGUGGACAGGCACUUAACGAAAAACAUUCCUCUAUCAAAUUUGAUUAUGAGAUGUCAGCAAAAGAAGUCCCAUUUUUAGACACGAUCGUUUAUAUCGAUAACAGAAACCAUUUGCAAACAAGACUACAUAGGAAACCCACAGACAGACAGAAUUAUCUUCAUAGAGCAUCUGAACAUCCACUACCACUAAAAAAUAGCCUAGCCCACAGCCAAGCAUUAAGAACUUAGAGUAUGAAAAUAACACAGAGCAACUUGUCAAAACAUUUACAUCACGAGGAUACGAUAGAGCAAUCAUUGACAAACAAAUAAAAGAGGUUGACAGCAUUUCACGCGAAGAACUACUAAAAACAAAAUUCUAAAACGACAACAAGUAACAGAACUCCAUUCAUCACAACUUAUUACAGAACCCUUCCACCUAUUGGAAGUAUAUUACGUAAGUACUGGAACAUCCUUAACAUCAAUCCCAAAAUUGCGAAAAGCUUCAAAAAUCCUCCCAUGAUGUCAUACAAACGUAACAAGAAUUUAAGGGAUAUCCUUGGGAGUAAUAAAAUAUCCAACAAUGAAGUAGCAAAAUAUAAAAGCCGUAAUGAAAAGGGUCAUUGUAAACCAUGUAAUACUAAACAAGGCAAUUUAUGUUGCCAACAAGUUUUGAGCACAUCAACUUUUAAAAGUAACCAAACCAAGCGGACUUAUGUGAUCCGACAUAAGGUUAACUGCAAAAGUAAGUAUGUGAUCUAUCUACUAGAAUGUAUAAAAUGCGGUUUACAAUACAUUGGUAAAUCAGAAACACAAGUUAAUCUACGAAUAAACAACCACCAAAAAGACUCAAGUAAAUCAGCAUCAAUACCAGUUUGCCAACACUUUAACAACACUUCCAACAACUUCAAUAAUGACGCGAAAUUUAUAAUAAUUGAACAGCUUAAGUCUCUUGAAGGCGACAAGGAACUCUUAAGAUCUCGACUGCAACGACAGAAGACUUUUGGAUAAAAAUACUGAAAACCCUAAGUCCGCUUGGGUUAAACAUGGAACUCAAUAGCCCUAUAUAGGGCAAUACAUUUCAUAACCUCGUUUUCCCAAUUCAUUCGUGCAUUUUGUCAAACAACAGACUUUAUUUCUGGGGUGAGGUCUUACAUCAUAUUAAUAAACAAUGAAACGUCACAUUAGAAUAGCCUAUAUUUAGAUAUGCUUUAUGUACCAAAUAGUUCUUACUUAAUUCUAAGAUUACAGGGAUCCAAAUAGUUCUUACCCUCUCCAAAGUCUUAAGAUUACAGGGAUCCAUUCUUUGGCAUUUUUUCCCCUUGAUGUUUUCAUGAUCGCUACAUUAUCAACCUUUAGAUCAGUGUGCACAAAUCCAUUUUUGUGAACAUGAUGCAAUGCACUUGCUAGCUUGACCAGAAUUUCUAGAAAACAUUCUUCUGUAACGUCCUCUAAUCCACCAUUUCUUAUGACACAGGAUAAGUUUAAACACACAUUGUUUCUUGUACAGAGCUGCAAGACCAAUUCAAUAGGCCUUGAGUUUAUAAUUAUCCCAUAUAGCAUGGGAAUGCUUUCAUGAGGACUGAUGUUUAUUAGUGUUCUAGCUUCUCCUACUGCUCGAUCUAUAAUUAUUUUUGGUGAAAAUUCAGAAAUCUCUUUGAAUUCUUUAACUGCAACUGCAAACUUGCGAUAUUGCAUAAUAAAAGAAAACGUCCCUUCCCCUAAAACUGUAUCGCCUUCAAUUAAAUUCUGAAGCAUAUCCCGUUCAAUGAAUCUGUCUUUUGGAAUCCCAGAAGGGACAUAUCUAGAAAAGUAGUAAGCCAUGCUAUCUGUUGCUUGAUAACCAACUUCGACUGCCUUCUUGUUACUUUGAACAUCUUUUUGGAUGCUAUCGGCCGGAAUAUUUACGUUCCCCUUUAACCAUAGUAACUGUAAGGGCCACCCUUUGUGUGCUGAUGCUUGACUUCUGGAAAUGCUGUUUUCACUGCUAAGCCAAGUUUCCUUUCGUUUAUACACGCAGAUGGAAUGUUACCUGGGCUUUUAAUAAUUAGCUCUGUACAGGUAUUUUUGCCAACCAUAACUUCCCCUCCUUUGAACAAUCAUAUUUGAAGUUUUCUUUUAGCCGAAAACGGUAAUGAUUUUGUUAUUGCAGAUAACAGGACGUCUUGAGCUUACGCUCACUUAAAUUUCUACAAAUAGGAAUUUUUUAAAUAGUUGCUGCAGUGGUUAUUUGCACCACCAUCUGAAUAAAUUGUAGAAAAAUUUUUAAAGUGUGAAGUAAUGACGCUACAGCUACCACUUCCAUGUUAUCUUUAAAUAUUAUUUUUUGUAGGUAAAAAAACCAAAUAGCUAUUCUGUUUUUACUUACCAAUUCAACAGAAUGUUCUGAGACAUGAUUCUUGUGAGUUGUUAAAAAGCGACACGAUGAAACAUAAAACUAGAAAAGUUCACAGAUACAAAAAACUAGUUUCCUUUGCGCCUUAUUACUUUGACACCUCAGGAAGUACUGGCAACAUGCUCCGUCCCUGCCCGGAUCUUGUAUUACUCAUCUAUUCAGGUGAGUCGAUGCCCUGAUACACUCUUCUGUCGAUACAUCAAACCUGUAUUCUGUGUUCUAAAAAAAUGGCUACGAGAUCACUCGAAGAUUUUCCUUUUGAAACGUUGUUUAACUCAUCAAAUGAUUCAAGUAUGGAAGAUGUGAUACAUAGUACACCAGUCCCUAAUAACUCUGGAGUAAGGGCAUCAUGAUCCGUUUUUCAUAAAAAUUGUUCUAUCAUUCUGACAUUUGAGAGAAGCCAGAGUGAAGAUGACGCGACUGCUGAGGUGACAUUUUCGGACCAAGUAGUAAAUCUGAGAGACAUCAUGUUUGAAAAAAGGGAGCCAGAAGAUUUCAAUUUUAGCAGAAAGGAGAUCCUCAACUUUAACCAUGUUGCAAGAGAGAAAUAUGGGAACCUGGUAAGACAAAUUUACAAUAUUCAACAAAACAACAAGCUCCUGAUCACUUGUAUUCUCUUAUAAAAGAGGAGUAAAAGAGUAGUGUGGAAUAGCUGAAAGAUUGAAGGUGGUAACAAUGUUCAAUAUUUUCAUUUUUAGCCAGACAACUUCCACUUUUCCAUACUAUGGUAGCAUAUCUAGACAAAGGUGCAUGGGAAAUAGCGGAACAGAUUAUUGAUAAAAUGGAAAGGAGAAAGAUGCAUGGCAAAGCAAUUCCUACCACAUUUACAUUCAAGUUUCUCAGUGGAUGCAAGACCAGUGGUGGAAAAAAGGAGCGCUUAUUGGAGUACAUGCGUCAUAACGAAUUGGAAGCAAGCAGAAAGCACAAAAAGAGGGCAUUUCAUCCAGAAUCAAAGGUUGUUUUGAAUUAUUUGCCGUAGUGGAUAAACAUGAUAUCUUUGAAAUUGUUUAAGGGGUGCUUGAGGAUCAGACAGAGUUUAGAAUCUUUCCAGCAAUAUGAAUUGGCUUCUUGGGAUCUAUCCACUUAAUAAACUAGUCAUAGAAACGAUAUUUACCAAAAAAAUAUACAUCCAAUUAGAAUCACACAACAUUACAAAAAAUCCAUACAAUCUUUUCUAAGAACAAUUUGAUAAGAACAAGAGCCUCAAAAUUGGUCAAAUUAGAACAAGCUGAGGCUGAGCUACUGUAAAAUGUGAUUUUGAACAACAUUUUAUCUCAAAGACGAGAAUUUUAAGCAAUAUGUGGGUGCUUCUUCGGUGUAAAUUCAAACUUGUUGGUAAAUAAAGAUUCUUCACUGAUUUUGUUGGCAAAGGAGGCCUGAAGUAGAGCGAAAAAGCUAACAAUCCCACUGCUUACACCAUAUUAAUUUUAGAAACCUUUCAGCCUGAACUUUAGUUUACUGAUUCUUAUAAAAAAGAGAUUGGCAACGGUUAUCAACAUAAAGAUAAUAGAUUUUUAAAAUUCAAUUUUUGAGUGAUGAACUUGCAACCUUGAUAUACUAAGAUCGAAUGGGGUUGCAUCAGUCAGCCUGCGUGUGCAGCAGAAGUAAAAAAGAGACCUGUAAUAAUGAAGUCGUCAUAAAUACUCAUGGGUAAAUAUCAGAAACGACCAACAUCUCGUUAAGUUGCCUCAAAUGAAAUAGAAUUUGGGUGAAAAGGUUUUUAUUAUCUGGCGGGAAAAGAAUUCAAUGACGUACCACUGAGCGCCAGAAAAUUUGAAUUGAGUCUUCGUUUAAGCAAUUUUUAGAAAAUCAUUUCAUGAUGCGAAGCUAUUUUUAUAUUUAUUAUCUUUGGAUUGGACUCGAUUUUACUCAUUUAGUAUAUUUUGAAUACAUGAUUUCAUGUAGAUUUUUACUGUUAGUUUUUGAAACAUUUGAUUCAAUUUAUUUGAGCGCUGAAUACCCUUCUGUCAUUUGAAAGUGUGGAAAUGUAAAACAAUUCAAUCUAAUGUCUCUUGUAUUUAAUGGACAACAACAUUUUUAAGGCAUAUUUUAAAUAACUGCUUUCAAUGGUCAAGAAUAUCUAAUUUGGAAUCUAUUGAUCAUGCUGCAAGGAGGAGCAAGCAGCGAAGAACUUUUGCGAGAGGAGCUUAAAUGUGCCAGAUUAGAAGUUGUUUUUAAUCUUUAUAAGUUCAAAAACUAAAUAAAGGACAGUCGUCUCCAUUUAUCGAUCGACAACGAGCACCACGCUAGACCUGGCAUUUCCUGACAUCGGGCCGAGAAAUGGGUUAAAUUGAUAUGCAGUUUCCGUUGCCAAAACUGGUCCUGCUUCAAAAUAGUGUGACAAUCAACUUUAGACUAAUCCUUUGACAGAUUUGCCUAAUCCAGCACUAGACUGCUUACAUAGCUGUUUAACACCCAUUGUUAGAAGAUGAUAGGGAUAACAUUCGUCAUGAUUAAAUCAUGUUUUAUUUGCUAGUGCCCCUGUCUCCUUGUCUCGUGUAUUGUACCAUGCAAACUUUUGGCUUCACUGGCCAUUCCUCUAAUCUUUCAGUAUUGACAAUUGCCAUGGUAAAUAUCAGUAUUGAUAUGACAUGUUUAUCACAAAGGACAGCACGUUGAAAAUCUGCUUGUAUGAAUCAUAUUCACCGUCACACUAUCCGAAUAUUCAAAACACUCCAGUCUAGAUCCGUAUUAUAUACUUUACUGCAGUUUUAAACUACUUGCUUAUCAAAAAGUGAGGAGGGCCAUGGCCCCUACGGCCCCUCUCCCCCUGUUGUCGUGGACCCUUGAUUCCCAGUGGAAGUAAUCUAAUCAGUCUGCUCCUUCCAUAGAUAAUAAAGCAAAUAUUACACGAUUUGUAGAAGAUGUCUUUAGAUGUGGAAAAAAUUAUAAAAACUCAUGUAGAUUCUAUUGCUAUAUUCUUCAAGCACUGUUAUUUGCAUUUCAUAUUUUUUUGCAAAAUAAUGUUUAUUUCUGAAAAACCUGCCAUUUUGUUAAGAUAAUUUUUCUUUAUUUGUAUUACAAAUUUUAUCAUGAAAACAAAGCAACAAUCAUUAUCAAUAUUUCGUUUACACAUUAAGAGCAUUAUGAUAGUUGUAUGACAUUAAUGUGAUUAUACUGAUUGAUGGUGAUGAUAAUGCACUUGUCUCAAACCAAAGUAUUUUGGGUGGAAAAUCAAAAGUCUUGUUUACAAGUUGGCAAGCUCCAACAUUCACUCAUCAAUGUGAAAGAAUUUUCUUGAUACAUCGUUUUUUUCACUGUUACAUCCUGUACUUUCAAUAUGCAAGGUAAACUAUGAUUCCAUCAAAAUAGAAUCUCUUCUACCAUCAAUCGAGGCAUUUUCUUAGCCACUCUAAAUAUACAACAAACUACUCUACAGACUACAUUGAUAAACAUUAAGCAUUCAGGCAAAAGGAAACCUUUUAAAGAAAUUACAUCAAAGUCAGCACUGAAGCUUUUAAACAAUAUUCUAAUAUUUUGAUAUUGAAAGCCGCCUGGUUUGUUUCCAAAUUUCAAGGUUCGUAAAGCCGCAUUUACACUAGCAAGUUUUCAUUGACAAUUUUUCUUUGAAAAGUUAAUUUUGAUCGUGUAGAUUGGGCGUGCCAGUUUUUGCAAGUGCACUUGACAAGUAAAAAAUUAUCAUAUGGAAAACUUGCUCGUGUAGAUGUCUUAACAAGUAAACUUGACAAAUUUGACUCAAUUCCAGACCUUUUCUUUUCUCGCAAUUGCUUGUUAUUGGCCGAUCAAGGAACAUCAAUGCUUUUAAUACUCUGCAAAGCCUUUGGAAUAUAAAGGCAGAAAGUUGUAUAAUUGGAUGAAUGAAUAUAAUCAACAAGGAUGAGUAUGCGUAGUACGGGUAUGGGUAUACAGAUAUUAAAGGAAGACAUUCCAGGGGUUUCCCACCCAUGAAUAAAAGUAUUUUCUUCGUUAAAGGAGCUAUUAUUUGCGAAAAAAUUCGACAUAAAAAACGUGCCGCAUCACAAAAACCGUGUCAAACAUAUAAACUCUGCUGGCCAAAACGAUUGUCAGAGCAAAUAGAUGUUGUGAGCGAGGACUGAUGCCUUUCUACACAAGCAAUAAAAAAUUGUCAAGUAAAAAAAUGUCAAACAAAACUUGUUGCUAAUCUACAAGUGCAAGGAAUCUUGUCAAGGAAAGUUACCAAAAAUAAUUGCACAUGUAGAUGCCGCUUUAAGGUCAAGAGCAAAGGUAUACCAAAUGAGUUUGACAUUUAAAUUUUCCAUCUUCCCUGCCCAGUUAGAAAAUCAUGUUAAUUUUAGAUUUUCUUGACCAGAUGUUGAUUUUCAAUUCCAACCAUCAUCGAUACCUGAGAAAACAGCCUCUAUCAACAGCCAGCAUUGCCAACAAGCAGGACAAAAUUUGUCGAAGCCUACCCAAAUUAGAAGAAAGAAGUAUAUCGACACGGACAUGAGUGGAUAUGUUAUGAGUGGAUAUGAAGCUGACACGGACAGUGACAGUGAAGUGGAAAGUUUGCUACUGUUACAAGACGAAACUUCUUCUUCCACCGAAUCAAGAAAAUCUGGUGAGAUUCGUGAUUCCUUCUAUUGGAUUCUAUCUGUAAUAAGUUAAGGACUGAUGCCUUAAAGCUAGUUUCUGUCGAUUUCCCAAUUAAUGAUACUUUCCCUCUCCUAGACCUCAUUUGUAGAUUAAUCCUGAUACAAAAUUCUUUAUUUUUUAUAUAUUAAUAUAAAUAAAGGUUGUACAUAAUAAGCACUAUAUAUGUUCAUUGCAUCAAGCUUUUUAUCUUGGAUUAAAUUUUUAAAUCAGAUUGAUUUGUUGAAACAGAUGCCUGCUGUGAAUGCGAAAAAAAAUCUGACAUGACAUGACAUCUGCAAGUGAUGAAGAUUAUGACGCGGACGAUGAGCAAGAAGAAAAAUUUGGUGAGAGAAAUGUAUUGCCAUCAUAACAAGUAUUGAAGAGCAUUUGGAUAAAGGUAGUUCCAUGGCAAAUUAUCAGUGGCGUCACAGCCUUAUUGUACGCCCCCUGUAAAAAUCCUACACAGGCAGAAGAAGCUAUAAAAAAUUUAUGUACAAUACAGGGGAUGCAGAUGUUGUUGUGACGCUUGUGCAAAUUGUUCUCUUAACUUAUUCAUAUGAAAAAGUGAAUAGAACCAUUUUGGAAGCAAAUAAAUUCAAUCAACAAAGCAGUAACUUCUAUGUAAAUCAGCGAUUUUUAUUAAACUACAUCAAAUCAAAUUGUAGGAAAUUAUUUGUAAACGCUUUUUUAUCCGAUCAAAAUCUUGAAUAUUGGGUUGUGCUUUCUGGAGCUCCCCUCAACGACAACUCUACUAGAACUUAGUACAUUUUCAAUUAAGUUUUUUAGGCAAAUAUGAGUCCAGGGCCAUCAGAACAGGAGGGGGAAAGCAUCCAAGGGCACAGGAAUCUCUCCUCUUAAAGAAAUAGGCAUUACAAAAUCAUCCAAAAUUUAACCUCUGUUUGGUAAUAGAUUUUAUUUAAGGCACAGCUGCUUAUGAAACUGAUGAUGCAGACGAUGAACUGGAUCACUCUUCAAGUAGUUCAGGAAGAAUACAUCUUGGACAUGAUUGAACCAAUUUAUACCUCCAGAUACUUUUUGGACAAUUGAAGGCUCAAGUGUGUUGUUAAAUGUCUAUGGUAUGACAACAGUAACAGUUUAGCUUGAUACUUCUAGUGUAUAGCCUUGCUAAUUAGACACAAUGAGAUAAACAGUUCUGUUUCCUCAGGGGGAGGAGGCAAAAAUAGACAGGGAAUAUGUUUGAACAGUUCAAGAAAUUAAAUCAAAAUUAGCAAUGUUUAAGAAUAACGGUCAAAUUUCCUACAUUUCUGAAAAAUUUGGGAAGCUUGAAAACACAGUUUUUAUCUUGUUUUUCUGCUUCCUAAACAAAUUUCUUAAUUUCUUGCAGAUUCUUCUGCUAACGAAGAAAGAGACUUUUCUGAGUCUACAUGGACAUGCAACUCGGAAAGAAGUCCCUUCAAUGUCGGUUGGCAACAAAUGCAAAAGGAAAAACUUAAACGAAAGCGAAUCUUGGAGAAUAAUGCAGCGAAUAAAAAAAAGAAGAUAGGAUUUAGGAAGCGCCUCUGGGCAUUAGUGGAGUGGGGGGAGGCAAUGCCUACAAAAACACACAAAUUCGCCGACAAAUAGCAUAAUUCAAAAGACAAAAACAACAAUUUAGCAUUGUAAAAAAUUUUCCAGGAUCUCUAAAGAACUAUACAAAUACGAGUUGUUUGACUCAGUGAACAUUUGACCCAGCCAUGUGUAAUUAAUAGAGCGGUUGCAAUAGAGCCCCCAUGCCUGGUUUCCAAUAUUGCUGCCAUCUUGACAGGCAAGGUGGCUUUUUCGAAAACGUAAACAUGACCACUCAAAGCAGCGAGAUUUCUCUUUUGUCAUACCUUUAAUCGAUGGGAGCAAAGGCGAAUAAAAAAUUAUCAAAAAUUGAGUGCAUUGAGUGCAUUGACAAGAACAUGAAACACUUGCCUAACGUAGACUACACUGACAUUGUUAAUUACCUUGUCUAUUCAACAAGUUACCUGACAGCAAAGGCGAUAAAGGCGAAGAAGUCAUUACAAGCUUAUAAAAACUUCUUGAGUGGGUGGGUUUUAGAAGCGGCAACAAUAUUAUACAAGGAAAAGUGCGUUUUGAUAGGAAUGGUAAGUCAAAGAUCUUAUCCUAAUAAUAAAUCUAAAAUUAUUGCAACAAAAGCUAACUUGCUGAAAUUAGUGCAAGAAAAGUUAACUUGCUGAAAUUAUUGCAGCAAAGGUUGUUUUGUUGAAACGAUCUUAACUGGACAGCAGCGCAAUCUUGGAUAGUUUUUUAGGUUAGAGUAAAUCUUAGCUUCAGGGAUGUAUUGCCUUUUGGGAUUUCUUGUCUCUGCCUGUUUCCCUAUUUGCUGCCUACUUUUUGAUCAUGAACAUUGUUUUCCUUGAAAAAAAUUGCUGCCUAUAUUAAUCUCCGACUAUGCUACAUUGCCUCCAUAUGAUAAAAGUCUUUACUUUCUAUUUGAAAUUGUUGCAGAAACCUGUACCUGUAUCUACCUGUUGCAGAAAUAGAUUUCAAUCGGAAAGAUACAAAAUUUCAAUUUUGGCAGUAAAAGUUAGGAAGAAAGUCAUGGGCCAGUUAAAAGAAGAAAAUAGAAAAUGCUUGCCGUACUGAUCAAGAUAAGAAGCAAAAGGAAUUCUUUAACAAGAUUAGUUUGUGUAGUACUAGACCAGCUAUUUUGUCAAUAGCAGAGCCUUUUAAUGAAGGUUUUAUUCCCUUUGGAGCCAUCAGCAACCUGUAUAUACCAGAAUUGUAUUCUCCUUCAAAUACAGGGUGUUCUUUAGAUGUUAUUCAAAGGAAAUGUGCUGAAGUUGUGCUGCCAGUAUUGUCAGAGGAACAACUUCAGAGAAUCCAAAGAGAGAUAGCAAAGCAGUCAAAGUCAAAGCUUUGGUUUAGGCUAUGGUCUGGUAGAAUCACUGCUUCAAGAUUCAAACAAGCUUGUAGUACUGAUUUCUGCAACCCAAGCAAGAGCCUGAUCAAAGCCAUAUGUUACCCAACAGAGUGCAUAUUUACAAGUGACGCUGUAGCUUGGGGUUUGGAAAUGGAGAGCAUUGCUGAAGCUGCCUAUGUAAAAGCCAUGGAAGCAGAACACAAAGAUUUUCAGUUUUUUAAGGCAGGAUUGAUUUUAAACAAUAAAUAGCCAUUUUCAGGAGCCUCCCCAAAUGGUUUGAUAUGUUGCAAAUGCUGUGGGGAAGGUGUUCUUAAGGUCAAAUGUCCUCACAACUGCAGAGAAAUUUCACUGAAUGAAUAUGCUUGCAAAGCCUAUUCCAUGCUAGUGCCUUUACAUCGCUCAUUUGCACCCAAGCAUGGGCAUCAAUAUUAUUUUCAUAUUCAAUGCCAACUAGCAAUGUCUGUGGCAAAGUAUGCGCAUUUUGUAGUAUGGACACCAAAGGAAACACAUACUGAGACAAUCUUUCCCAACCAGUCUUUCUUUGAUGUUAAUGUUAGUAAAGUAGAAAAGUUCUUUCAGCUUUGUGUCCUACCAGAACUACUUGGAAAAUACUAUACAAAACAAUGAGAUAAUAACAAAUCAGCUAAUAUUUUUCUGUUUUAUAUAUUUCUGUGAAUUUGUAUAAAAAUAAAAAUUAAUCAUUAGACAGUUGGUAAUAAAAGCUAAAAGAUGAUAUGGAAAGACAUACAUUAUUUGGUGUGCAAACAAAAGAGUUUUCUACAUAAAAAUAGUAAGAGAACAAUCAAGAGGAUAUUAGUAUAUAAGGUACAAAAACAUGCGGCAACAUUUCAAUUACAAAAAGCCAUUUGAAAAACAAUGAUUGCUAAAUUUGUUUUAAUCAGUUAGAUUUUGCUAGAUUAGGUUCAGAAAGUGGAUGGAAAUUUUUUUUGUCUCAAUAGAAAAAGGCAUUUUUCCAUAUGAAGAGAGGUCAAUCGAUGCAGCAGGAACCAUCCCACAAAAAAAUGAAACCAAGAGAGAUCAACAUAAAAAGAAAAAAGGUUUGUAUAAUGAGCUUUUAGUCCAUAUUAAAGUAUAAUAAAGUGGUUUCUACUAAAGAAUUCAUCCUGAGUUGACUUUAAAAUUUGCCACGAAGCACCAGUCCUGACCGUGAAGAAGCCAGAGAAGACCCGUUUGUUCUUCCAUUAGAGCCGGGGUCCAAGCGAGAUUGGAAUUAGUGGGGCGGAACUGCCCUCUGAUGAAGCGCUUUUGAAAACCCGAACUGAUGAAUUUUUGACAUCAAAACAAAGUUUUAGCUGCCUCAAAUGCACCGUGCUGUCUAAAAAAACUUGUAGCAUGUCAGAAGAGGAACAGUAGAUUUAAGAAGGAGGUUGCUGCACUAAAGGAGAGGAUAGAGGAAUUGCAAAACAAGCAGGAAUAUGUGUGUAAAUUUUAUUGCCUUUGUUUGCUAAAAUUUUGACCAGAUGAUGUUGAAAAGCUGCCCAAGCCCGUCGGAACUGCGGGGGCUGGAGCCCCCCCCUAAUAAUUGUCAGACUGUAGUAUAUUCCCUUUAAAAAGUGUAUUAAAUGAGAAGGAAUACAAUGGGCAGCAAACCCCCCUUCCCCCCCAAUAUGAAUUUUGUUCCGACGGCACUGCUGCCAAUUGAUUUUCUUAAUACCUCUACUUUUUAGCUGAGCCAAAUCAAGUACCAAGGCUUAUAAUCCAGACUGCAGAGUAUUGCAAUGCACACCUGAGAUAUCUUUUCUAAAAUGACUUUGCACACCUUGUAAAGGGUGUGGAAUUUUUAGAUCAGUGCGUGAAAUGGGUGUGACCCAUAGCCAAGGUCAAAUGAAGAUUUUAAGUUUCCUCAAAAUCAACAUAAUCUUGCAUUGAUUUGAUAACGAAAUAGCCAUCAAUCAUGUACAUUGCUCAUAUUCUCCUUUUAUGUAAUAUUCUCGAAAUCUAACAUAGUUGGGUGUACUAUUGUGCAAAAUUGAAGUGCACACUUAACCAAAGGGCGAAAUAGUUUUGGAUGUAACGAUGUAAAUGGUCUGUUUAAAAAUGAUAUUGCCGAUGAUUGUAUAAUUAUUGUUUUAUAGUGGGGCUCCUGAAAGAUGGGGCUCGUGGGAUUAAUUUCCAGUUAUAUAAAAAUUUCAGCUACCAAGCUCUGAUGAUGAUUACGAAGAUGCUACUGAAAAUGAAAGUUGCUAUGAAGAAUUUGAAGAUGUCAGUGGAGAUGAAGAUGUCAUGUACGAUGUUUUGGAAUGAAGGGCAAAUUUAGAGUUUAGUGGCAGUGAUGCUGAUAAUGAUUAAAAAGGAUCUUCUGACCCAGAGUCCCCAGAAAAUGUUGCAAAGGCUGAUAAGAAUAGAACAAGAAAUACAAUCAAGUAAGUACUUUUUUAAAUGAAAAACUGAUUAAGAAAUGUACAGUACCAAGAUUUUGAUUUGGGAACAUUUUGAAACCAAGAUUUUCAAUGGUUUACAUUGAGCCCUUUGUUUUUAUUUGCUCUGCCAAUGCAAAAGUCAGUUUAAGUUCCUUUAAAAAAUGGAGAACAAAUUUGUUUACUAUUUGGCGAUAAAGCCCCUCUAAUCAUGUCCUAACCUGGUUGAAGAAUCUUGAAUAGAAUGAAACUCAAUGUAGAAUUACAUUCCCACCACUGGAAGCUAUAAUUGUUAAGUACUCCAUCAUUUUGAUCCAGUUAGCUAAUUAUAGUCACGUUUUUUCUACAGCAUUGAUGAGGAUGUCCCUAUCCAAAAUGAGCCCAAAUUCAUUGUAUUCCAGUCAAUGUUGGUUGCACUAUUCUCUUUGUUUUGUUUUAAAUGUGGUGAAAAGAAAUCAGCUCUUGAAGUCAUAAAGAAGGGAACAAUGGUAAAAGUCAUUCAAGCCUGUAAGAAAUGCAAAGGGGCCUUCACAUGGAGCAGCAAGCCAUUAGUCCUAGGGCAGAUUCCCCCUGGUUAUAUUUUACUAAGCUUUGCCACUCUUGCUGCAGGUGCAUCUAUCAGCAAAGUUCUGCUUAAAUUUGCGACACAUGGGUGUAUGCUGCUAUACUGCACAAACUUUUUUCAAGCAUCAGAAAAAGAUUUUGUUGAUUUUCAUAUAUCGAAGUUGUGUUUACGAAAGAAUUUAGUUGUUCUUGCUGGAAACCUGCCGACCCUAUUUGCCAUCUUACGCUGACUGCAGCCGAGUAAAAGAUCGUAAGUUGUGUUAAACUUUCUCUUUACUGCUCACUCGUUUAAACGUUGUUGAUUAGAACUCACGCGUUAGAUCACAUUUGAAGUGUGAUUUAACACUUACCCAUGUAGAUGUCUUGACAAGUAAACUUGACAAAUUUGACUCAAGUGCAGACCUUUUCUUUUCUCACAAUUGCUUGUUAUUGGCCGAUCAAGGAACAUCAAUGCUUUUAAUACUCUGCAAAGCCUUCGGAAUAUAAAGGCAGAAAGUUUUAAAAUUGGAAAACCAACAACAAUGAGUAUGCUUAAUAUGAGAGUAUGGGUAUACGGAUAUUAAAGGAAGAGAUUCAAGGGAUUUCCCACCCAAGAAUAAAAGUAUCUUCUUUGUCAAAGGAGCUAUUUUUUGCAAAAAAAUUUCUCUUGAAAAACGUGCGGCAUCACGAAAACCGUGGCUAACCUAUAAACUCUGCUGGCCAAAACGAUUGUCAGAGCAAAUAGAUGUUGUCAACAAGACCUGUUCCCUUUCUACGCAAGCAAUUAAAAAUUUUCAAGUAAAAAAAUGUCAAACAAAACUUGUUUUUAAUCUACAUGUGAAAGGUAACUUGUCAAGAAAAGUUACCAAAAAUAAUUGCUCGUGCAGAUGCGGCUUAAAGGUCAGAGCACAAAGGUAUACUGGAUGAGUUUGACAUUUAAAUUUUCCAUCUUCCCUGCCCAAUUAGAAAAUUAUGUUAAUUUUAGAUUUUCUUGACCAUCAUCGACACCUGAGAGGGCAAAAUUUCGCCCAGAACAAAAUUUUUCAAAGCCUACCCUAAUUGGAAGAAAAGAGUAAAGCGACAAAAGUUAUGAGUGGAUAUGAAGCUGACACAGACAGUGAAGUGGAAAGUUUGGUACUGUUACAAGAGGAAACUUCCUCUUGCACCGAAUCAACCAGAUCUGAUGCCUGCUGUGAAUGCGAAAAAGAAUCUGACUGGACAUUGUCAGAUUCUUCUGCAAGUGAUGAAGAUUAUGACGCCGACGAUGAGCAAGACGAAAAAUUUGGUAAGAGAAAUUACUUAUUUUGGCUUUUAAAUAAACGUAUUUCCAUCAUAACAAGUAUUGAAAGCAUUUGGAUAGAGGAAGUUUUAUGGCAAAUUAUCCUGUAAUAAACCUGCCCAGGCAGAAGAAGCUAUAAAAAAAUUUAUGUAUCUGGGUCCCCUAUGCGUCAGCCCCCACUGGAGUGCAGAGGAUGCAGAUGUUGUUGUGACGCCUGUGCAAAUUGUGCAAAUUCACUUGAUAAAAUAAAGGAAACCAUUUUGGAAGCAAAUAAAUUUAAUCAACAAAGCAGUAACUUGUAUGUUAAUCAGCGAUGUAAUUAAACUACAUCAAAUCAAAUUGUAGGAAAUUAUUUGCAAACGCUUUUUAUUUGAUCAACAUAGAAUAUUAGGUUGAGCUAUCUGGAGCUUCCCUCAACGGCAACCCCACUAGAACUUACGACAUUUUCAAUUAAUUUUUUUAGGCAAAUAUGAGACCAGGGCCGUUGAAACAGCAGGGUAGGGGAAGCAUCCAACGGCACUGGAAUCUCUUCUCAUGAAGGAAUAGGCAUUACAAAAUGAUCCAAAAUUUAAUCUAUGUUUGGCAAUAUAUUUUAUUUAAGGUACACCUGCUAAUGAAACGUAUGAUGCAGACAAUGAACUGAUCACUCUUCAAGUAGUUCAGGUACAAUACAGCUUGGACAUGAUUGAACCAAUUUAUACUUACAGAUACUUUUUGGACAAUUCAAGGCUCAAGUGUGUUGUGAAAUAUCGAUCGUAUGACAACAGUAACAGUUUAGCUUGAUACUUCUAGUGUAUAGCCUUGCUAAUUAGACACAAUGAGAUAAACAGUUCUCUUUCCUCGGGGAGAGGGGGCAGAAAAAGACAGGGAAUAUGUUUGAACAGUUAAAGAAAUUAUAUCAAAAUUGGCAAUUUUUAAGAAUAACGGUCAAAUUUCCUACAUUUCUGGAAAUUUGGGAAGCUUGAAAACACAGUUUUUAUCUUGUUUUUCUGCUUCCUAAACAAAUUUCUUUAUUUCUUGCAGAUUCUUCAGCUUACGAAGAAAGAGACUUUACUGAGUCUACAUGGACAUGCGACUCGGAAGGAAGUCCCCUUAAUGUUGGUUGGAGACAAAUGCAAAAGGAAAAACUUAAACGAAAGCGAAUCUUGGACAAUAAUGCAGCAAAUAAAAAAGAAGAUAGGAUUUGGGCAUAAGCCCCUCUAGGCAUUAGUGGGUGAUAUUAAUGUUCCAGGUGGGGGUGGGGGCAGGGGGAACCAAUCCCUACAAAAACAGGCAAAUUUACCAACAAAUGGCAUAAUUUCAAAACCGGCAAUUUAGCAAAACCUGGAUAAGCACAUGCACAUCCCCGCAUUUUCCACCACUGCUAGGCGUUGAUAAAGGGUUGGCAUGGUAAAAAGUUUUCCACAUUUGACACUGGAAAAGCUUUGAAUGUAGAUCUAAUGGAUAAAACUACUGUUGAGGUGUGCCACGAGAAGUUAACAUGUGUAAUAUUGAUGAAAAUAUAAAUUUGUGUCACGUACAUCCCUAUUUUACAAAAAAUGCAUGGGUUCUUGUUGCAAAUGUAAUCAAGCAAGUGAAACGAAAACCUAUGCAGUGCAUGUUAUUGUCAUGUUGAAGAAGUGUACCCUGUGACUCUUGUUUUGAAAUGAUAUCAUUUUCAGUGCACCUCCAAAAGGAAACUCCAAAAGCAAUAUGCAGGCUUUGCAAAACUGUCAUUUGAACUUAAAGAACAAAUUUUUUAAUCAUUAAAAAGAUUUUGAUUCUUUCCUGCAACUUCUUGAUGCAAAAACUUAAUUAAGGUUUUUUCAUUUCUCCACUGAAUCUGUAAAUUCCAUGAUAACUUUUCUCACAAUUAUUUAUCAGCUCUAAAGGUAAGCUUUGUUAGCAUAUAUUCCUUUGGACCUUAGAAUUUGCUAUUG
Molecule: non-coding RNA, 18785 nt
Organism: Rhopilema esculentum
Lineage: Eukaryota; Metazoa; Cnidaria; Scyphozoa; Rhizostomeae; Rhizostomatidae
Source: RefSeq, a predicted model, not a curated record